RNAcentral lists this transfer RNA (70 nucleotides) under Enterococcus cecorum. RNAcentral's name for it is "tRNA-Trp". The stretch from base 7 to 65 matches the Rfam family "tRNA", at positions 7 to 64 of the family's 71-position model. Rfam says of the family: Transfer RNA (tRNA) molecules are approximately 80 nucleotides in length. Their secondary structure includes four short double-helical elements and three loops (D, anti-codon, and T loops). Further hydrogen bonds mediate the characteristic L-shaped molecular structure. tRNAs have two regions of fundamental functional importance: the anti-codon, which is responsible for specific mRNA codon recognition, and the 3' end, to which the tRNAs corresponding amino acid is attached (by aminoacyl-tRNA synthetases). tRNAs cope with the degeneracy of the genetic code in two manners: having more than one tRNA (with a specific anti-codon) for a particular amino acid; and 'wobble' base-pairing, i.e. permitting non-standard base-pairing at the 3rd anti-codon position. The record is from RNAcentral. Lineage: Bacteria; Bacillati; Bacillota; Bacilli; Lactobacillales; Enterococcaceae.
GCUUGCAUAGUUUAGCGGUAGAACAACGGUCUCCAAAACGCGUCGAUGUAGGUUCAAUUCCUACUCCGCU